RNAcentral lists this microRNA precursor (154 nucleotides) under Manihot esculenta (cassava). Lineage: Eukaryota; Viridiplantae; Streptophyta; Magnoliopsida; Malpighiales; Euphorbiaceae. The record is from RNAcentral.
AAGAUGAGAGCCUGUCUCGUUAGCCAAGGAGAAUGCCUGUAAACCACAUACAUAUUCAAAACCUUAGUUAGCCGCGUUAUUUCAUGCAAAGAUGAAAAAUCUGCGUGAAGCUGCAGGCAAGUCAUCCUUGGCUACCAAACAAGACUCUUCAUCU